CCUACGGGGUGCAGCAGUGGGGAAUAUUGCACAAUGGGCGAAAGCCUGAUGCAGCAACGCCGCGUGAGCGAUGAAGGCCUUCGGGUCGUAAAGCUCUGUUCUCCAGGAAGAUAAUGACGGUACUUGAGGUGGAAGCCCCGGCUAACUACGGGACAGCAGCCGCGGUACUACGCAGGGGGCUGGCGUUAUCCGGAAUUACCGGGCGUAAAGGGUGCGUAGGUGGUUUCUUAAGUCAGCGGUGAAAGGAUACGGCUCAACCGUAGUAAGCCUUUGAAACUGGGAACCUUGAGUGCACGAGAGGCGAGUGGAAUUCCUAGUGUAGCGGUGAAAUGCGUAGAUAUUAGGAGGAACACCAAUUGCGAAGGCGGCUCACUGGACUGUAACUGACGCUGAGGCACGAAAGCGUGGGGAGCAAACAGGAUUAGAUACCCUGGUAGUC
Molecule: ribosomal RNA, 439 nt
Filed under: uncultured bacterium
Lineage: Bacteria
Description: partial 16S ribosomal RNA
Rfam family: Bacterial small subunit ribosomal RNA
Source: RNAcentral